Molecule: transfer RNA, 74 nt
Filed under: Oscillibacter valericigenes Sjm18-20
Lineage: Bacteria; Bacillati; Bacillota; Clostridia; Eubacteriales; Oscillospiraceae
Description: tRNA-Lys (TTT) (tRNA-Lys-TTT-4-1)
Source: RNAcentral
ACCGGAGUCGGACGAUUAUAAGCAGGCUAGCUGCCUUUUAAGCAGUGGGUCCGGGGUUCGAAUCCCCGCCGGUA